Molecule: long non-coding RNA, 619 nt
Filed under: Equus asinus (donkey)
Lineage: Eukaryota; Metazoa; Chordata; Mammalia; Perissodactyla; Equidae
Description: lncRNA (ENSEASG00005038603.1)
Source: RNAcentral
UCAAUCAAAAAGCGCUUUGAGCUUUCAGGCGGUCCUUCAAGGCUUCACCUCCGCAGGGAAAGCUCUUCUGUUGAGGUGGACACCCACAGUGAAAAUGCUACAUCAUCUGAGAGUGCCGGUCGCACCCUGCUGAUCCACGGCCCCGUGGAACUCAAAAGAGGCUGGAGGAGGCAGAAGCGGCACCUCUUCUUGCUCAGCGAUCUGUUGCUGAUAGCUAACAAAAAUUACAAAAAAAAAACUUUAAAAUAAAAAAUAAAGUACCCCUGAACACCAUAUGGAUUGCCAACUGUUUGGACAAAUUCGGAGAAGCCGACACCUCUGCCAAGAGGUCCUUUGUCUUGGGCUGGCCCACAGUGAACUUUGUGGCCACCUUCAGUUCUUCAGAACUAAAGGAAAAAUGGCACUCUUCCCUUCAAAGGUGCAUCAAUCUAGCCAAAGAGAAGGACCAGCCAAAGAGCAUUCCCCUCAAAAUCGUCACUGAGGACAUUAAGAACUGUGUCUGUGUGAUAUGAAGCAAGAGGAAUCUAUGAUGGCUUCAGUGCUUAAGCAUGGAAAGAAUAUUGCAUGGUAAAUGUUCCUAAUGUUUCUCUGGAUCCUGCUAAUGGUAAUUAUAGUGGCU